GGGUUGUGAGGUUAAGCGACUAAGCGUACACGGUGGAUGCCCUGGCAGUCAGAGGCGAUGAAGGGCGUGCUAAUCUGCGAUAAGCGCCGGUAAGGUGAUAUGAACCGUUAUAACCGGCGAUACCCGAAUGGGGAAACCCAGUGUGUUUCGACACACUAUCAUUAACUGAAUCCAUAGGUUAAUGAGGCGAACCGGGGGAACUGAAACAUCUAAGUACCCCGAGGAAAAGAAAUCAACCGAGAUUCCCCCAGUAGCGGCGAGCGAACGGGGAGGAGCCCAGAGCCUGAAUCAGCAUAUGUGUUAGUGGAAGCGUCUGGAAAGGCGCGCGAUACAGGGUGACAGCCCCGUACACAAAAGCGCAUGUGCUGUGAGCUCGAUGAGUAGGGCGGGACACGUGGUAUCCUGUCUGAAUAUGGGGGGACCAUCCUCCAAGGCUAAAUACUCCUGACUGACCGAUAGUGAACCAGUACCGUGAGGGAAAGGCGAAAAGAACCCCGGCGAGGGGAGUGAAAAAGAACCUGAAACCGUGUACGUACAAGCAGUGGGAGCACCCUUUGGGGUGUGACUGCGUACCUUUUGUAUAAUGGGUCAGCGACUUAUAUUCUGUAGCAAGGUUAACCGAAUAGGGGAGCCGGAGGGAAACCGAGUCUUAAUUGGGCGUUAAGUUGCAGGGUAUAGACCCGAAACCCGGUGAUCUAGCCAUGGGCAGGUUGAAGGUUGGGUAACACUAACUGGAGGACCGAACCGACUAAUGUUGAAAAAUUAGCGGAUGACCUGUGGCU
RNAcentral lists this ribosomal RNA (782 nucleotides) under Salmonella enterica subsp. enterica serovar Give. RNAcentral describes it as "bacterial LSU rRNA". It matches the Rfam family "Bacterial large subunit ribosomal RNA", at positions 1 to 816 of the family's 2925-position model. Lineage: Bacteria; Pseudomonadati; Pseudomonadota; Gammaproteobacteria; Enterobacterales; Enterobacteriaceae. The record is from RNAcentral.